AAAGGCCCUCGGGUUGUAAAGCCCUUCAGCGAGGAAAGAACGCCUAGUGGUUAAUACCCAUUAGGAAAGACAUCACUCGCAGAAGAAGCACCGGCUAACUCCGUGCCAGCAGCCGCGGUAAUACGGAGGGUGCAAGCGUUAAUCGGGAAUUACUGGGCGUAAAGCGCGCGUAGGUGGCUUGAUAAGCCGGUUGUGAAAGCCCCGGGCUCANCCUGGGAACGGCAUCCGGAACUGUCAGGCUAGAGUGCAGGAGAGGAAGGUAGAAUUCCCGGUGUAGCGGUGAAAUGCGUAGAGAUCGGGAGGAAUACCAGUGGCGAAGGCGGCCCUCUGGACUGACACUGACACUGAGGUGCGAAAGCGUGGGUAGCAAACAGGAUUAGAUACCCUGGUAGUCCACGCCGUAAACGAUGUCGACCAGCCGUUGGGUGCCUAGCGCACUUUGUGGCGAAGUUAACGCGAUAAGUCGACCGCCUGGGGAGUACGGCCGCAAGGUUAAAACUCAAAUGAAUUGACGGGGGCCCGCACAAGCGGUGGAGCAUGUGGUUUAAUUCGAUGCAACGCGAAGAACCUUACCUACCCUUGACAUCGACAGAAGCCGAGAGAGAUCUUGGUGUGCCUUCGGGAACUGUCAGACAGGUGCUGCAUGGCUGUCGUCAGCUCGUGUUGUGAAAUGUUGGGUUAAGUCCCGUAACGAGCGCAACCCUUGUCCUUAUUUGCCAGCACGUAAUGGUGGGAACUCUAAGGAGACUGCCGGUGACAAACCGGAGGAAGGUGGGGACGACGUCAAGUCAUCAUGGCCCUUACGGGUAGGGCUACACACGUGCUACAAUGGCCGGUACAAAGGGCAGCGAGCUCGCGAGAGUCAGCGAAUCCCUUAAAGCCGGUCUCAGUCCGGAUCGGAGUCUGCAACUCGACUCCGUGAAGUCGGAAUCGCUAGUAAUCGGAAUCAGAAG
Molecule: ribosomal RNA, 953 nt
Filed under: uncultured bacterium
Lineage: Bacteria
Description: bacterial SSU rRNA
Rfam family: Bacterial small subunit ribosomal RNA
Source: RNAcentral